This is a non-coding RNA of Lepisosteus oculatus (spotted gar), 371 nucleotides long. Lineage: Eukaryota; Metazoa; Chordata; Actinopteri; Semionotiformes; Lepisosteidae. The record is from RefSeq and is a predicted model, not a curated record.
CCUCGCGCUCGUCAGAAGUGGCGCUUGCCUGUCUUUUCAAGCCUGUUAUAUGUGGAUUAUAUACAUUUGCACAAACAGUAUCUACUGUCCUGAGCCCCAGGUUACAGCCUUUGAACGUGACAGGGCGUAGAAGAGCAUGAGCUGCACAAUGGGCUGCCAUCGCAUGUGCACGGGGAGAUGGGGACAGAGCGAACCGCGAGAGCUGCUGGCAUGACUGCCCGAUUACCAACACGGCUGUAUAGUGUUGGGGGGCUCUCUGCAGGUUAAAAGUUGCCAGAAUGAAAAGGGUCCUGCAGGUGGAUGAACAGCACCAGGCCUCCAGCUCCAAAGAGCAAGAUGAAGAAGAACAGACAGGGCAGCUUCAUGGCGAC